UGCUUAACACAUGCAAGUCUACGAGAACCGGGGAGCAAUCCCUGGGGACAGUGGCGCACGGGUGCGUAACGCGUAGGUAAUCUGCCUCGAAGUCUGGAAUAACACCGCUAACGCGGUGCUAAUACCAGAUGAUGUUAUGAGAAGACAUCUUCUUAUAAUCAAAGUUUCGACGCUUCGAGAUGAGCCUGCGUCCCGUUAGCUAGUUGGCGGAGUAACAGCCCACCAAGGCGACGAUGGGUAGCUGGUCUGAGAGGAUGAUCAGCCACAUUGGAACUGAGAUACGGUCCAGACUCCUACGGGAGGCAGCAGUGAGGAAUAUUGCGCAAUGGACGAAAGUCUGACGCAGCAACGCCGCGUGAAGGAUGAAGGCCCUCUGGGUUGUAAACUUC
RNAcentral lists this ribosomal RNA (389 nucleotides) under uncultured organism. RNAcentral's name for it is "bacterial SSU rRNA". It matches the Rfam family "Bacterial small subunit ribosomal RNA", at positions 45 to 433 of the family's 1533-position model. The record is from RNAcentral.